Molecule: ribosomal RNA, 253 nt
Filed under: uncultured bacterium
Lineage: Bacteria
Description: partial 16S ribosomal RNA
Rfam family: Bacterial small subunit ribosomal RNA
Source: RNAcentral
UACAGAGGGUGCAAGCGUUAAUCGGAAUGACUGGGCGUAAAGGGCGCGUAGGUGGUUGAUUAAGUUGGAUGUGAAAUCCCUGGGCUUAACCUAGGAACUGCAUUCAAUACUGGUCAACUUGAGUAUGGGAGAGGGUAGUGGAAUUUCCGGUGUAGCGGUGAAAUGCGUAGAUAUCGGAAGGAACAUCAGUGGCGAAGGCGACUGCCUGGCCCAAUACUGACACUGAGGCGCGAAAGCGUGGGUAGCGAACAGG